Molecule: small nucleolar RNA, 131 nt
Filed under: Rhinopithecus bieti (black snub-nosed monkey)
Lineage: Eukaryota; Metazoa; Chordata; Mammalia; Primates; Cercopithecidae
Description: Small nucleolar RNA SNORA73 family (ENSRBIG00000017906.1)
Source: RNAcentral
AACAUGGAUAGACUCAGGAAGUCACUCUCCCCAGCUCUGUUCAAGUGGUAUAGAGGGGCCCAGGGCUCUGCUCCACGAUGUCCACAGAAAGUCUUGGUCUAGAGGAAUCUUCCCUUUAGAGGCACACAGCA